Long non-coding RNA from Lathyrus oleraceus (garden pea), 1672 nucleotides. RefSeq lists it as uncharacterized. The record is from RefSeq and is a predicted model, not a curated record. NCBI's taxonomy places the organism in Eukaryota, Viridiplantae, Streptophyta, Magnoliopsida, Fabales, Fabaceae. The transcript has 2 exons.
UGGACCAGGCCAUUCUCGGUUGGGGCCUCUUUUGGCUGAUGGUGGCAAGCACAGGGGGUUCUGAAACAGCAGUUAGGGUGGUGGAUAGAAAUCCUUGGGAUUUCAAGCCCAAACCAAAUUCGGAUUUAGGUCCAAAGGUCCUGGUGAACCGAUCUAAGUCAAAUGCCAAGCCCCAAAUUCCCCUCUUCACGUUCUCACGCUUCAAGCCAUACACGAACGAAGAACCUUCACCAUCAUCCUCACUCUUCACAGACUCUCUAUUCUCCUCUCUGAAAUUCAAAUGCGAGCGUGAGCAAACACGGUUCCAGCUUAAUUAUCAACAUCCGAAUCACUUCGAACUCUUCAUCAUCUUCACCGAUCCGGAGUUGCAACAUACACAUCGAUAAUCAAAUCGCAGCAUCGAGGAGAAUUCGUGGUUCGCGCCUUUCCAUCUUUAAUCCAUAGCUUAUAAGCUUCGAAGAUUCCACUUGCUCUGCUAUCAAAUGCACAAAUGGAAGAAAAGUGGUGUCGAUAUGAGUCGAAGGACUUACCGAACCGAAGCCUCGAUAGAAUUGAAGAAGUUUUGGUUGUUGAAUGGAGAGGUCUCGGCUGUAGAAUGGUGAGAUUUGGUUGUAGAGUGGAGAGAACUCUACAGAAUGAAGGGAAAACUCUGACGCAGAGUUGAAGAAAGGAUGAUGCAGAAUGAGGAAGAAGGUGAUGCAGAAUGAGGAAGAAGGUGAUGCAGAAUGAGGAAGAAGGUGAUGCAGGAUGAAGAAGAGAAAUGCAGAAAAUGAGAAAAUCCCCCCUUUGAUCUGUGAAGAGCUUGGUAUUUAUAGAGUUUUCUUCUUCUGAUUUCUGUUAGAAUCUCAGGUUAAAUGCUAAUGAAAUCUAACUCAAAUUACCUUCAAAUGUGACAUUCUAUUACAGGUUAAAUCUCUUGUUAGUUAGUAUCAUUAUGUUAGUGUUAAUUGGGUUGAGUUAGUUAACUGUUAGAAAUUUCUGUUAGAAGUUAUCAACUCUAUUAAAAUUUGUUAUGAAGCUUUGUUAAUUUCUAUUUACUAUGGUUAGUUAUGAGUGAGUUAAAGUGUUAGUAAUGCUAGUUAGAUUUGUCACCAUGCCUGAAGUUUAAUAUCAGUUGUGUUAGCUGUACUUUGUUGGUUCUGCAGCUCAGUUAAUACUUAAUAUCAGUUCUAGAAUUAAUUACAGUAAAUUAUUACAUUACUGCUAAGUUGUAUAGGGAACUGAGUUUAUGGAAUUGUUAUAGAAUCUUUGAAUGGUUUAUGGAAUUGAUUGCUAAUCUUUUGGAUUAAUGGACUGUUAUGGAUUGGAUUUUGCUUUGUUAGAUUUGCAGCCAGGUUUAAGUUAGAAUGUGAGUUUGGAUUUAUGAAGCUUGGUUAGGAUGUUUGGGUUAAUUGUGAACUGGUUUUUCUUGCAGGCUUCAUGUGCCAUGAAUCUAUUUGAUUUGCUAAGAGUUGGUUUGUUGUUAGUUAUCAAGGUGAUGUCGUUCCAACAUUGGUGAAACUCUUGAGUGCAACAUGGAAAUGGUGGCUACAAGCUCCAUCAAGUAGUUUAAAGCUUCUUUUCUUUUCCUAUUGUAUUAUAAAGGGGAAUGUUAUGUAUGGUGUAAUGGGAUGUAAUGUUAAAUGUAGAAAUAAUCAUGAAUAAAUAUGGAUUUUAUGGAAUUGAGAUUUAA